CCCCGGCGCGGCUGCAUCGACGGGUGAAACCGUAGCACGGCGCUUCAGGGAAGUCGCCUCCAUCUCCCCCCAAUCACGUCUCCAUCUCUCCUCCUAUCUCUGCCUCCAUCUCUCCCCCAAUCCGUGCUUCUAGCUCCGGAUCUUCCUCCUUUGCCGGUCUUCCCACUAGCUGGAGCAGGGAGAGUUAGAGGGAACCAGGGCGCCAUAGAUGAGGAGGUGGAGCUCGACGUGGAGGAACUCGCGGGGAAACUGCAGGCAAGGAUCAGCUUCCAUCCCCAUCCUCUCGGCUGGCGGCUGGUGGCCGUCCUGGCUCUUCUUCUCCAUCAUGACACCUCGUCCCGUAUGGGGACAGAAGGACGGCAUCGACGGAGUCGUUCAUAUCGCCAUCGCCAAACGCUAGGGUGAAACCUAAGACCUAAGAUAUGUUGAGAUGGACGAGGUCGCGGAGCCAAGGAGAGGUGUUGCGGACUCACCGCGAGCUUGCAGGUGGACAAGGCAGAAGAUGUCGAAGUUCUGGAAGUGGUUGACGUUGCAGCCACGGGUAUUGCGGUGAUCAGCAACAGGGCAUCUCACCACAUCUAGAUAACAAUCUCCAGGACAUUGUAUGAAUGGAAGAAUGUGCAGAACAGUGACAACUCAUUCUUCUCUUACCUAUAUAUGUGAGGGAAGCAUCGGCAAAAUCAUGAGGAGUGUAGAAGAUUGUUGUUGCACCACAGAAGGAUGAGGAUCCAAGGCAAUUUAACAUUUACCUAAUCACAAGAGGAGUGUAGACUGCUGUUGCCCCAAAGAAGGAUGAGGAUGUUGUAACCAAGGUAUACCGCCUGCUUUCCAAUGACAGAUCGCUUACAUGAGUAAGGUGCAGAUUGAUCUGAAUCAAGAAGUAACUGUUCAUGGGUGAAGGGUGGGAAUGAUAAGAUGGUAUGUAUCGUUUCUUCGAAGUUGCCUUAAAUUACAGGGAUUAAAUCACGUGGUUAAUAGUUAUAUAUAUGAAUGACAUACCCUGUUUUAUCCUUGAUAGAGAUUUGUUAGCUUUGGAGAUGGGAAUUGUUUUUAACCAAAUCUUAAAACUAGAGAGCUGACAAAAAAUAUCUUUUAUUUAUUUUGUAUUUCUUAUGACCCUUUUCUCUUUACUAUAAUUUAGGAUGGCAUUUGGAUAUUUUUUUUCUGCAGUGCCAUUUAUUUUCUCCUACUUCUCUUACCUUCACUUUCGGUUUUCUAUUUUGUUCAAUGAGAAAACACGCCAGGUCUUACCAGCUAAUUAGCUCAUCUAAGAUAUUGGUCAAGUAAAUGGGAGGAUGCUAAAGAAAAAAUUUAUUUUCUGGGCAAUUUGUGUGUUCACUUAUUCGCUUAGCCCUGGCCUUUGCUCUGUUCAUACAAUGUAGAUGAUUAUAACAACUGGUCAACUGAGAUAGGAUGGACAACUAUUUUAACCAUCCGUUUGGUUAAUAAAGUAGUUUCCUUUAAGGUUCGACUAGCACAUUCGCAGCCUGGACAUGGUCUUACAUUCCAUUCAAUUGAUCCUCCUAAUCCUGGGCAAUUUAUCUAAAGAUUGUAUAAUGUAUUCUAUUACAGUGAUUAACUUGGAGGGUAUUUAUUGUUGGCGUUGCAUAUAUGUGAACUUUUCCUCUUACUAUGUGUUAGCCUGCAUUCCCUUGCUGUCGGAGAAAUAUUUAGGUUCUUUUAUUCAAAAUCACUGGUUCAUGUUGUUAUCACUUCUUUCAGACCGUGUGAGCUGAUCCCUUUUCCUUUAUAUCCACAAAUUAUUUACUUGUCUACAAUUUUAGGUGUCCAGUUAUUAAUCCAUGUUGAGAUAAGAAAAUUUAUCCAGUGUUUCUUGGUAUACCAUAUCAGAUAACUAAUAGAGUAUUGUAGAUAUUGUACAUCCUAUGAUUUUUAUUUGUAUGUUUGUCAGUUAUAAUGAUGGAAAAUCAGUAUGAGGCACUUGGUAUAUUUUUAAUCUAUUGACGUUUCAGUUUUUCAGUUAUACAGUGAACUCAUAUAAGGUUCUUAGAAGAGAGGGUGUGGGAAGAAGAAGAGGCGAUCUCCAGCGACGCGUUGCGCCGCAUCUACGUCCUCCCCCGAACAACCAGGGCAAACAAGCGAGGUGUACAAGAGAUGAGCUUCCGCUGCAAGUUUUUCUUUUCCUCCAACCAUUUAUUUUCUCUUUGCCGUCCAAAGCCUCGCACGGCAACGGCUUCUUUUCCCGUAGUGUGUAUUUCUGUUCAAACUGCAUCUGGUCCCAAAAUUCCCCUCUGUUUGUUUUGUAUGAUAGAUUUUGUAGCCAGGCUCAGAUCCGCUAGACUGUUCCAAUGGAUGAGGUAUGUCACCAUUUUUCUUACUUUCCAUCACAAUCUUAAUAAUGAAUAAAUCCGUCCUACUAUUGAUUAAAUAGGAUUAGAAAUGUAGUAGACCAUGCUACUAUCUUGAGACCAGCGAGCUGAGACCAGCGAGCUGCAAGCAGUAGCUUCAGUUUGUGGCUAUGAUAGUGGUGCACAGUGUGAGCUUAUUAUAUUACAUGCUAAUUUAGCUAACUUCCUUGCAUACUGUUCAAUUUGAUCUAAGACAGCUCAUGGUACUCCCGCUCAUUGCUUCUUACUAAUCUGUAUAGUUGGGUAAAUUCAUGUUUUAAUUUUGUUCAAUUUGAAUGCAUUAACCUAUAUUUAGAUUUAAUUGCGUUUCCCCGGUGAAUGACAAUCUGAUAGAUCUACUUUCUAGAAUAAUUUAUGGUGCAUGUUGUUAGAAGCAGAAACAAAGAAACAACACCUUCUCUGGGCCCUCUAUACUCUUGUGUAAAUGGAGAAGUCUUGCAUAUCUGGUUCUCUGUCUAAGUUUCAGUAUCCUUGCUUGUGAUGACAUACAGUCUUCUAGAAGCAUGAAAUUGCACUUUUUAGGUAUGUGUUUUCUUUGUUGCUUUUGCCUUCCUGACCCGUAACAACUUGAUGAGCUCUCCUCUGUAUUCUUUCGUGCAAAUCUUUGCAAGAGCAAGUUGAUUUUCCAUGACACCAUCCUCUUGCACAGUUUGAUCCAUUUUAAAUAUGCUUUGUCACUGCUCCUCUGUACAACGUCCUCCAGUUCCUAAAAUUAGCUUUGCGGCUUACUCAUCUUUUUGGAUUUACUUGGAUUUUAAAUAUUUUUGAAUUCAGAGUGUAUCUGAACCCGCAAGAAAUAUGCCCAUGCUUUUGAACCAGCAAGAUGUUAUUAGUGUUGCUUUUGCACCUGAAGCUUGCUCUGUAAUCUGUAGUAAUAAGGCAUUGCCAAAUUUAGCACUGCUUUUACUGUAGAGUUUUUCUUAACCUGGCUAUCAAGUUUCAGUGUGUUUCUGUAAGUAACAAUUAUCAGUAGUAGUACCACUGUGUAAGUCACCAUAUUCUGUUGUAGGAUUAGUGUUCUUAGACCGUCAUUUUAUCCAUGCAUCGGAUCUUGGCUUUAAGCGGUUUCGGUCACAGAGUACUCGAAGCCAAGAUCCGAUGCGGAUAUUUGUGGUGGCCUGAAGAUCCCCGUUGCAAGAAAAACCACGUCCUGUGGAAGUAAAGAAUCCGAUCAAAUCACUGUUUCAAUUCUUUUAGUAGCCUUUCAUAGUUUUAAGAAACUCUUCCAGUUGGAAAAGCAAAUGUUAAGUAAAUGAACUGGGACAGUUUUCUAU
Molecule: long non-coding RNA, 3643 nt
Organism: Lolium rigidum
Lineage: Eukaryota; Viridiplantae; Streptophyta; Magnoliopsida; Poales; Poaceae
Exons: 6
Source: RefSeq, a predicted model, not a curated record